AUUUAUCCUGCACUAAGAUUUGUCAUCAGUAGUAUGUCUAAAAUUAACAUAUACAGGCAUUCUGUUUUGUUUUUCUACAUGAACUUGUGUACAUUACUUUGUUCAGAUGAUGGUCCUUAGUUUCUGCAGCACGUAAACUACUUAACUUUUAUUGUUGUUAAACUUCUAUCCAUUUAUCAGAUGACUUCCCAGUUGAAAGUUUGAAUAAGUUUGGUACAAAAAAGUACGAAAAAAGGGCCAAGUCUUUGAUCAGUACAGUACAACAUAAUUGACUUGAAGUACAGGGAAGUUAGUUAAGCUUUUUCCAGACAGAUGUGUGAAAACGGAGGUAGAAAAAUUAAUCUCAAUUUUUGUGAUAAAGGUGAAGAAGAUCCUGUACAAUAAUGUUUAUUUUUAACAAUGUAACAAUAAUGCAUCUUCUAUUUAUAUAUGAUCGUGCAUACAUUGGUUUAAGAAGUACAGGAUAAUUGGCCACAUGAUCAUAUUCUCAUUUAGACUUACAAUUUUAUGCAACAAACGUUUUUAAGUUUGUUUAAAAAAAGUAUAAUUUGCUCAAGUCAGGAUAUUUGCUUAUUCUUGUAGUAGUCAACAUUUAUAUAUUUUCAAGUUCAUUAAACUUGUAAUUGAAACAACGGUAUGUUAAUUGGGAAUCUAACGUUUUUAUUCUUUUUUUUAACUGUUUUAAUAACAUCUAGUCCUCAAACUACCACAUUUUUCAGUUAUAUUUGAAAUGAGUAAUAUACAAUGUUAAGAAAAACUUGAUUACGCUUUCAACUGAUUGUAUAAAAUUUUGAAAGGCAUACAGUGUAACAUGUUGGAUGUUGACUUGUAUGAACACUCAGAUGACUUAAGUACACAGCAGUAGUGAAUUCAAAGCAAUAAAUUGUUUUUUAAUUGACAUGAGUGUGAUGAAAAGGAGAUAUCUGUGUGAUUUAAUAUUGAAACUAUGGUUAUCACUUCUACAGAUUUGAUGGUCAGGAACUGGUUGUUUAGAAAAAAUCAUUCAGAAGAAAUUACUAUGUUGAAAAUGAUUGAAAUAAAUUACUAGUAACUUUUACGACAAUCGAUGGAUGUAAUCAACUUUUAUUUACCUGAUUCUGUUUCAACAUGAAAUCAUGACCAAAAAUUAAAAUACAAGUAUUUGUUCAGUGAACAAAAUAUACCGUAUAAUCCAAAAUGAGUUAUGAACAGUACGUACCCUCUGAUCCAAGAUAACAUACGAACAAAAUAUACCCUCCAAUGCAACAUUACUGAUGUAUAGUAUAAGAAUACUUUAGUUAAGAAUUUUUACUCCGUUAUUUCACCUUUUCCAGUUGCUUGGUGAUAGUUUUCUAACACAGUGUCAAUAACUUGAAAAAAAAACUCGACAAAAAAGUAUUUACGUAUAUGUGUGGUGUUAUUUAUAAUAGCAUGAUCUUCAGACUGAAAUAUUAUGUUUUCAUCUUUAGAUGGUUGUUAGUUCUCUCAAUUUGCAAUCUGUGCGACCUAUAUUCAAAUCCUGUUACUGAACAUGUUUACUCUUUUUGACUGUGGGAUCAUUAUAAUGUGGCAGUCAAUCCUAUUAUUUGUUGGUAAACAGAUGCAACAGUUGACAGUGGGUGUCUUCCCUCUAGUCUAACACUUCAAAAUUAGGGAUGGUAAAUGUAGGUAGCCCUUGAUUAGCUUUGCGAGAAAUUCAACAAACAAUCAAGCAAAUGAACUGUGGAUUUUAAUGUAGAAUUGCCAAAACAUUUUAUCCUUUAUUAUUGUGUCUUUAUUGCUAGAAUACUGAAAUGAUUUUUUCCUAAACAUGUUCUUCUUAUAAAACUCCUGGUAGAAUUUCAUCGCUAUUAUUUUCUCAAUGCAAGCUUACUAGAACUUAGAAACAGUUGAGAAUUAUUUUGCAAAUGAACUGUAAUGUAUCUCAAGAUGAAUUAGUUGACUACUGGUUUGAGUUCUAGGAUUCUAUUAAACACACCUACCAUGUUUCAAGUGUGUGAGAGAAAUUAAUGUUAAAGAAUGUUUAAAGAUGUUAACCAUGUUGUAGUAGUAAUGCAUUUAUGUUGUAGGUUAUACAGUAAGUUGUAGGACGUUUGUGUUCAUGACCACUGUCCAUUAACUGCAUACUAUUGAACUGUAUGGUGAGUAUUCAAGUGGAAACAAGGGUGAUAAGAAAAAUGGAAUUUUUUUUUCACCCUACACAUAAUUAAAAGUGAAUGUGGAAGAAAAAAUUGAUGUCUUUUUGGAUAUGUUUUUCUGUAUACAAGUAAACAUACUAAGAAAAGAAGGAACAUCUGCCAUCUUUAAAUUUUUUUUAAAUUUCUCACUGUAAUAAUGAUAUUCUCUACAGUGUUUGGAACUUAACUGUAGCAUUUACUUACUUAUUGAUUUGUUAAAACACAAGGCAACAUCUGUAGGCUUAUUUACCACCUUUACGAUAGACACCAUUUUCUUAUACUUAUUACAUUGAAAACAUUUGCAGACUCAAAGACAAGUUUAAUUAGCAUGUUAAUGAGCAGUAUGCCCAGGUUUCUUAGGUCUUUGUAGGUUUGCUACAGCAGUAGAAAGGCUAUGCUCUUGUAGAGAUUUGAAUUUUUGUUGUUUGUGCUCACACUCAAUUCAAGAGUAAUAACAGCCAUCAAGUAUACCUGCAAUUCUUCCCAUAUAUACAUAUAAAUAACUAUAUAUCUGGUAGUGGUAGUUCGAGGAGAAGGUCACACUUCAUAUUGACAGCAUUUAAUGAAAAUUCCACUGAACCUUCUCUUUUGCUGAAAUGUGAGACUGACGUGCACAGUAAUAUAGUUUUCAUGAUCACGUACGAGCACUAACAUUGUGGCCAAAACGGGGCUUCUGUUGGAAUCACUCUUCCAUGCAGCAGCUACAAUAACUUUCUUCAUAGAUGUGUAUCACAUAAAGAGCUAUCUGAGCUCAUGUAUACACAGGUAUAUAAAUAGUUCAUAGUUUAAAACUUGGACAACAUGUUUAACUUGCGUCUGACUUUAUAUGGAAGUGACACUGCACUUCUGUUUUAAAGUACUUGGUCAUUGGUCCAAUGAUCUCUGUAGAAAAUUCUGGAAAGCUGCUUGUAACAUACCAGAUGUAUCUACCUAAUAAUUAAUACUUAACAAAGAUUUUUACAUUUUCAAGGACUGUUAUGUACAUCUUAAACUAAUUAGUGCCAGAUUAAUUUUUAUAAAAGAAGUAAAACAGAUGCAGUUGCUGUCAUACAUAGCUUAUAAUCAGAGUUAAAUUUUGAUUGGUGAACAUUUAACUCAUCAAGUGUCCCAAUUGGUAAUAAUGUUAAACUGAAAUAUUAAGUCUAAUGUAGGCUGUUUGUACAUUUAAACACACAUUAAUAAUCAACAUAUCUUCAGUGUAGGAAUACUUAGAUAUGAAUGCAACUAAUAUUUAUCAAUAUAGGCAUAAUAUAAACAUGAUAUAAUUAUAUUUUUUCUGCAGUGUAGAAAUAUCGUAGACACAGCCAAUACAUUGUUUAUUGAAAAAUCCAGAUGAAUAAUACAUAACUAUAAAAAAAUAAUAGAUACACAAGUGGCAAGUAUUGGAAAACGGUGUGUUGUUGAUAGCCUGAAGAAAGCUACCCUGAUCAUUGUGUGCAUGGUCGACAUCCUUAAAUAAGGAGUAUAUUUUAAUGAAUUGAAACUUGUUAUGGCAAAUAUGUUUGUAAUUGGUCUAGAAAAAAAGAACAUGAUAACAUAUUAAAGUCUUUAACAAUACUAGGAAUGAUGUGAGAUUAUGCGAAUAAAAUGUUUUUCAGUGUCCGUGAAAACAUACGAUUCCAUCCAUCAUUUUUCUGUCUACAAUAGCGUGUGUGAAAUAUCUAAUAUCUGUUUUUUAAAAUAAAGUGUUGAUCUAGUUAUGAUAAUAGCUUUAGUUGUUUGUCGCAAAAUGUUACGAAAAGUUUUACGAACUGAAUUAGCAAAAUUUACAACAGGAUUUGUAUGCUUUUAAUCUUUUUACAUUGUACUUUGUCAGCAUUAUAACUAUGAAAAAGUUAUAGAAUAUUGUUUUAUAGCAUAACACAUCUUUAAAAUCUGUAUUCUUACGUUAACUAAUUAUCCAGAAUAUGUCCCAUGAAUUUUUCACAUCAAAUUACAAUUUUCCUCAGUUUUUUUACUUGUAUGUUUAAAUUUUACUUAUAAAAUACUUUGAAUCCAAAUUAUUUGGAUGUAGAAAGGAUGAAUUAUUGUUCUAACUUAAGAUUUGUUUUCUCCCUUUUAGAAAAUAAUUUGGAUUACAUAUUUGAAUCUGCAAACUUUGGAAGAUUUUUGACAGUAGGAACUCGUGCCAAAAUCCCAAAACCUUUCCAGUGUCAGACUUGUAACAGGUUUUUUGUCUCCAAACCAUCACUUCGAGUCCACAUUUACCAUCAGCAUCGAAAAACAAAGAUGUUUAAUUGUGAACUUUGUGGGAAGAGUUUCACAAGAAAUCAUACGUUGCAUAAACACAUUCAAGUAGCUCACGAGUCCCUUUUUUGAGAAAUAUUUGUAUGUUCACUAGAAACCAUAGUGGCUUUUCGUCAAGUUUUCUAAGUCCUGGAAUGUUGAACAGCAUCUCGGGAGAUGGAAUUUCUUGUGAUAUCUGCCACAAGACCUUCUGCUCUCGUGCGUCAAUGCACUCUCAUCGCUAUUUCCAACAUAGAAGCUCACGAAAGUUUCCUUGCCUGCAAUGUGGAAAGGUGUUCACACGCAAGCCUUCAUUGCAAAGACAUCAUCGUUAUUCUCACAUGAUAUUAGAAUACUAAUUAUUUUGCAGUUAUUUUUUUUUUCAUGCCUAGUUUUUUGAAAAAGACACAUUGAUUUCCUGCAGUAGUAUUACUGCUUUUUAGCAUAAGGACAGGUUAAUUAAAUUCAUAGUGUUAAAAAAUAUAAUCUAAAAAAUUUUCGAUGUGAAACAAGUUUUGGAAGCUAAUUAAUGUUGUGGUCAUAUAUUAAAAUGUUUAUUAUAUAAUCCUGACCCUAGAACAAAAAUGAUCAUGUAUUUUUCUUCCCAUAAGAAAUACCUCUACUGGAUGGUUUCAAUUUGUAAAGUAACUUACUCUCCCUGCCUUAUAAGUUCACUCUGUUCAUUUGUUUUGGUUCUUUUAUAUGUAAACCUCUUGACAAGUUCUAAAAUGCAAAUAAAACACUUGAAUAUAAAGUUUUACAAAAAUUUGUAUAUUUGGCAAAAUUUCUAUUACUAUUAUGCAUAAUUAUCAUUAGACAAAAUCACUGAUCCAUUUUAUUUUGUAAACAAUGUGAAGAGCCAAGCUGAAAAAGCAUGAUGAAACACCUCGGAAAACUUACAUAGCUUGAAAGUAAUCUGUAUGUUUCCUCAAAGUGCUUUCAUAGUGUUGAAUCUUUUGUCAGCCUUUUUAUUAGUUGAGGUUUUGUUCAUUUCAUGCAAGAGUAUUCCUAACCUCUCAUUAUUGGCAUGGGUUUCACUUGUAACUGUUGGUUUCUUACUAAAAACCACAUCUCCAAGAUCCACUAGUGAUGUUAGUAAAAUACUUUAUUUACUGUCUGAACUCAGGCUAUCAAUACAUGGUAAGUGUUGGUUUCUUACUAAAAACCACAUCUUCAAGAUCCACUAGUGAUGUUAGUAAAAUACUUUAUUUACUGUCUGAACUCAGGCUAUCAAUACAUUGUAAGUGUUGGUUUCUUACUAAAAACCACAUCUCCAAGAUCCACUAGUGAUGUUAGUAAAAUUCUUUAUUUACUCUCUGAACUCAGGCUAUCAAUACAUGGUAAGUGUUGGUUUCUUACUAAAAACCACAUCCCCAAGAUCCAUUAGUGAUGUUAGUAAAAUACUUUAUUUACUGUCUGAACUCAGGCUAUCAAUACAUUGUAAGUGUUGAUCAUGUCUUCCUUUCUCAGUUUAAAAUAAAAAAUAAUAUUCUCAACAAAACCAUAUUUCAAGAAAGGAAACAAUUAGACAAAAUUAUACAUUCUAAGCAUAGUUGAUGAACAUUUCUUCUGAAUAAAUAACAGGUUAUUUGUGUAUUGUGGGUUUUUAUUAAUAAACUGAUAUUUUAUUUGAAUUCUCUGUUGAGUUCCCAAUGUUCCUAAAUUGUCUCUCUCAACAGUGCAUGGUUUCAUAAGAAUAAUUGAGAACACUAUAUACAAACACAAUCUGAACAGGGCAGUCUCCUUACCUCGUUUUAGGUUGAUGUUUAGUGUAAAAAUUAAAUUAUAGUAAAUUCAAUUUCACAGUUUCUGUGGAUUUAUUUAGUGAUUUAAUGUAUUCCUUCCAGCUUUUAAAGAGAAAUAAAUAUGUACAUGCAAUA
Molecule: long non-coding RNA, 6262 nt
Organism: Limulus polyphemus (Atlantic horseshoe crab)
Lineage: Eukaryota; Metazoa; Arthropoda; Merostomata; Xiphosura; Limulidae
Exons: 2
Source: RefSeq, a predicted model, not a curated record